CCUACGGGAGGCAGCAGUGGGGAAUAUUGCACAAUGGGCGCAAGCCUGAUGCAGCCAUGCCGCGUGUAUGAGGAAGGCCUUCGGGUUGCAAAGUACUUUCAGCGAGGAGGAAGGCAUUAAGGUUAAUAACCUUGGUGAUUGACGUUACUCGCAGAAGAAGCACCGGCUAACUCCGUGCCAGCAGCCGCGGUAAUACGGAGGGUGCAAGCGUUAAUCGGAAUUACUGGGCGUAAAGCGCACGCAGGCGGUAUGUCAAGUCAGAUGUGAAAUCCCCGGGCUCAACCUGGGAACUGCAUUCGAAACUGGCAGGCUAGAGUCUUGUAGAGGGGGGUAGAAUUCCAGGUGUAGCGGUGAAAUGCGUAGAGAUCUGGAGGAAUACCGGUGGCGAAGGCGGCCCCCUGGACAAGACUGACGCUCAGGUGCGAAAGCGUGGGGAGCAAACAGGAUUAGAUACCCCUGUAGUC
This 464-nucleotide ribosomal RNA is filed under the name uncultured bacterium. RNAcentral's name for it is "bacterial SSU rRNA". It matches the Rfam family "Bacterial small subunit ribosomal RNA", at positions 338 to 795 of the family's 1533-position model. The record is from RNAcentral.